Molecule: long non-coding RNA, 2673 nt
Filed under: Macaca fascicularis (crab-eating macaque)
Lineage: Eukaryota; Metazoa; Chordata; Mammalia; Primates; Cercopithecidae
Description: lncRNA (ENSMFAG00000049415.1)
Source: RNAcentral
ACUUCAUCAUGGGAGGAUUUUUUAAAGGAAAUGUGUUUUGUAUUUCUUGUACCAGAGAAUGGUGAUGUUGAUUGAGUUUUUUCCAUGUGAAAAAUGUACCUGUUUGCCAAAUGUUCCUAGACUGCUCCUAGCCUGUUAAUACAAGUAAAACUUUAGUGGGAUGGAGUCUGGCCUAAGUACAGAAUGAGAGAUUUAAUUAGAAAAGUUAUUUUCUUUUGUUCUGUAUCAAACUGCAGAACAGCUAUAUACUUGGUAUUUUGUACAUGAAUAACAUUUUAGCUUUUGUGCCCUUUUGAGCUUAAAGGGUUACCUUCAAAACUAUGAAGGAGAAGAAGACAAAGCUAAGAUACCACAUAAAGUAAAAGUUGACAUUACUUAUUUUCAUUCACAAUGCCCAUUAAAAAAAAUAGGUUGGGCAUGGUGGCUCAUGCCUGUAAUCCCAACACUUUAGGAGGCUGGUCUCAAACUCCUGACUUCAGAUGAUCCACUCGCCUUGGCCUCCCAAAGUGCUUGGAUUACAGGUGUGAGCCCCCGCGCCCAGCCGAAACAAAGCUAAAUGUAAUUUUAUGUACUGUUUUAACAGUAUAAACCUAUGGGAUAAAGGCCCCCUAAUCAUCAGAAGGACUACUGAAAAGAAAAAGCAAACGUAGAUGUCAAAUUGUCUAAUUAUUCUUAAGUACCACUGAUUUUUUUUUUCUGAACUGUUAUACAAAGAUGUCUGUAAAAAGUAUACCAGUGGCUUUUAUGCAUAUACAUGAUUAGAUGAUGAAAUAUAUGGGAUUUCAUGAGCCAGAGGAGGCAUUUGGAUCCAUUGGGCCACAUGUGACUAUAAGCACAUUGUGUAUACAAUAAAAUUGUAGCCACUCAUGUAUUAGAACUGUUUGGUAAAAGCUGUAUUAAAAGAAUAAUCUUUUGCUUGAGCUACUUAGUCACUUUUUUUCAGGGCACCAGAACGUAGGCUACUUUUCCAUAGCUUGUUUGCUAUGUUUUUAUUUCAUCUUAAAUCUGAGCCAUUUUUGGCAAUAUCUUUUUAAAAAUCAUUAUUAAACAUUUAUUGGAAAUGUUGUAUAGAUUCACAAGAAAGAGACACCAAAGUGUUUGGGGAUUUUAAUCCCAAGAAGUAAACAUCCCAGAGUCAGAUCCCAUUUGCUGUUGUUCAGCCAUGUUUGUAUGACUGAAUGUAAUUUAGGAAAUCAGGAGUUAAAGAUGAAAAAUACAAACAUGUAAAAUGGUUGUAAUUGCUUUUUUUGAACUUACUGGCUUUAACUUAAGUAAUAUAACUGUGUAGUUAUUUUAUCUAAAGAUGUCAGAUUAUCUGUGGCCCUGUUAAUUAACUGCAGGGACCAGAGAGAGGACAAUAAUGCCUGUAUAAUUUGCUUUAAAGGCUUGUCCUUAUGUUUGUAAUUUUGGUUAAAUAUUUUCUACAGAUUGCUUCACUUCCCCUUUCCCCCAAUAACAAGUUCAUAUUCUUGUAAUGUUUACUUUGGUCAACGUGGUAACUUUUGGAAGAAAAUGCCAAAAUGUAAGCUUUUCACAAGCAGCAAAGGAAUGUAACUAACUGCCUGUAGCUACCACAUCAAGGGAAAGAAGAGGCUUCCGUACUUUGGGUUGGUCUCACCGUACAAAAAAAGAGUGUACCCCUAUUGGAAGAAAUAAGGGAUACUUGAAGGUUUCUCAUUUUGUUACACUUGGUUCAUGUGCAAGGUUGAACCAUAUGAAACUGCCAGUGUUCAACCAUUGCUGAUCUGCAAAAGCGACAAUAUCAUAUGCCUCAACCUAAUACUUACUUUUAAAUGUGGGUUAAAAUCUCUGUGAGGCAAAGGGAUAAUGUUCUCUAGGAACUCACUUUUGAGAGUAUUUUUCUCUAACUCAUGUGGAUCUAAAUUUUAAAAAUAGGAAUGAAUCUCUUAAUUGCAGCUUGUGGAGAGUGUAAAACAUUUUGAGCACAACAUGCAGCACAUAACUUUUCAGAUUGUGUUUGCAUAGAAAAGGCUAAAAUCAAUUCUUUCAGUUACUGUAUUGUUCAUUUAUUGUAAAGGUCUUCCUACAUUUGAGACUAGACCCUUUAACAUAGGCUGCCUUAGUAACAAAAUAAAACAGAUGUCUCAUAAGAUUAACUGUCCUAAAGAACAUGUGUCUUGCAAAUGCCAUGGAACUGAAUAUUUAUUUCCUUGUGAGUAUUACGACCGUUACCAAAGGACUCAACCAGAUUUGGGGCUCUUCUUAAUUGAUCAUGUUCAGAAAGGGACUCAUUUGGUCCCACUUUGUAACAUGGGAAGAGUAGAAGAGAAAAUUAAAUGUGGAAAUCAUAAAUGCUUUUCUAACAGGGUUAUGCUAUUCUGUAACACUAAAUGUCUGUCUUUUCUCUUAAAAGAUUAGGUUUUAUUAAUUUGUCAUACAUUUCUCAAUAUUUGAAUAUAUCUUAACCAUUUUAUGUUCCAAAUUCAUUUUUUUGUCCAAGACAUUCUAUCAGAAUUUUACUUGCCUCUAUAAUCUGAAAAAUGGGUUCUAGAAUGUCCCACUUGCUGUCUCUUAGAGGCUGAGCUUCAUUUCUAUGAGCAAAAAGCUCAUUUAGCAAUGUAGUUAUUUCAGUAUUUAUUUCUAUUAUGGAAUCCCUGGGGUUCGGAAUGUAACUUUGUACAUGAAAUAUAUAUAAAUAUGUAUAUGAACAUG